GACGAACGCUGGCGGCGUGCUUAACACAUGCAAGUCGAACGGAAAGGCCCUGCUUUUGUGGGGUGCUCGAGUGGCGAACGGGUGAGUAACACGUGAGUAACCUGCCCUUGACUUUGGGAUAACUUCAGGAAACUGGGGCUAAUACCGGAUAGGAGCUCCUGCUGCAUGGUGGGGGUUGGAAAGUUUCGGCGGUUGGGGAUGGACUCGCGGCUUAUCAGCUUGUUGGUGGGGUAGUGGCUUACCAAGGCUUUGACGGGUAGCCGGCCUGAGAGGGUGACCGGCCACAUUGGGACUGAGAGACGGCCCAGACUCCUACGGGAGGCAGCAGUGGGGAAUAUUGCACAAUGGGCGGAAGCCUGAUGCAGCAACGCCGCGUGCGGGAGGACGGCCUUCGGGUGGUAAACCGCUUUCGCCUGUGACGAAGCGUGAGUGACGGUAAUGGGUAAAGAAGCACCGGCUAACUACGG
This 467-nucleotide ribosomal RNA is filed under the name uncultured bacterium. RNAcentral describes it as "partial 16S ribosomal RNA". It matches the Rfam family "Bacterial small subunit ribosomal RNA", at positions 28 to 506 of the family's 1533-position model. The record is from RNAcentral.